This 422-nucleotide long non-coding RNA is filed under the name Pan troglodytes (chimpanzee). Its description in RNAcentral is "long non-coding RNA NONPTRT012548". The record is from RNAcentral. Lineage: Eukaryota; Metazoa; Chordata; Mammalia; Primates; Hominidae.
AAAAGUCUGCUUCCAGACGUGUUGGAGUGCCAUUUGUAUGUUAUUUAUUUCUUUUCUCUUGCUGCUUUUAGGAUCCUCUCUUUAUAUGUGGCCUUUGGGAAUUUGAUUAUUAAAUGCCUUGAGGUAGUUGGGUUAAAUCUACUUAGUGUUCUAUAAACUUCUUGUACUUGGAUAUUGAUGUCUUUCUCUAGGUUUGGGAAGUUCUCUGUUAAUAUUUAUCCCUUUGAAUAAACUUUCUACACCUAUCUCUUUCUCAGCCUCCUCUUUAAGGCCAAUAACUCUCAGAUUUCCCCUUUUGAGUCUGUUUUUUAGGUCAUAUAGGCAUAUUUUAUGGUUUUUUAUUUUUCUUCUUUUGUCUCUUCUGAUUGUGGCUAUACAUGCAAUUGAGCCUUUAUUACAGGAACCUUAAUACAUUUUACUUA